This 426-nucleotide ribosomal RNA is filed under the name uncultured bacterium. RNAcentral's name for it is "bacterial SSU rRNA". It matches the Rfam family "Bacterial small subunit ribosomal RNA", at positions 356 to 773 of the family's 1533-position model. The record is from RNAcentral.
GGGGAAUAUUGGACAAUGGGGGGAACCCUGAUCCAGCCAUGCCGCGUGUGUGAAGAAGGCCUUUUGGUUGUAAAGCACUUUAAGCGAGGAGGAGGCUACUCUAGUUAAUACCUAGAGAUAGUGGACGUUACUCGCAGAAUAAGCACCGGCUAACUCUGUGCCAGCAGCCGCGGUAAUACAGAGGGUGCGAGCGUUAAUCGGAUUUACUGGGCGUAAAGCGUGCGUAGGCGGCUGAUUAAGUCGGAUGUGAAAUCCCUGAGCUUAACUUAGGAAUUGCAUUCGAUACUGGUCAGCUAGAGUAUGGGAGAGGAUGGUAGAAUUCCAGGUGUAGCGGUGAAAUGCGUAGAGAUCUGGAGGAAUACCGAUGGCGAAGGCAGCCAUCUGGCCUAAUACUGACGCUGAGGUACGAAAGCAUGGGGAGCAAAC